RNAcentral lists this ribosomal RNA (550 nucleotides) under Garra gotyla (sucker head). RNAcentral describes it as "partial 16S ribosomal RNA". It matches the Rfam family "Bacterial large subunit ribosomal RNA", at positions 1897 to 2597 of the family's 2925-position model. Lineage: Eukaryota; Metazoa; Chordata; Actinopteri; Cypriniformes; Cyprinidae. The record is from RNAcentral.
GAGGUCAACCUGCCAGUGACUACAAGUUCAACGGCCGCGGUAUUCUGACCGUGCAAAGGUAGCGCAAUCACUUGUCUUUUAAAUAGAGACCUGUAUGAAUGGCUAAACGAAGGCUUAACUGUCUCCCCUCUCAAGUCAGUGAAAUUGAUCUACCCGUGCAGAAGCGGAUAUAAUAAUACAAGACGAGAAGACCCUUUGGAGCUUAAGGUACAAAAUUUAACCACGUCAAGCAACUCAAUAAAAACAAAAACUUCGUGGAAUAUAAAAUUUUACCUUCGGUUGGGGCGACCACGGAGAAAAACUAAACCUCCAAGUGGACUGGGACAAUACUCCUAAAACCAAGAGAGACAUCUCUAAGCCACAGAACAUCUGACCAAACAUGAUCCGGCCACCAAAAGCCGACUAACGAACCAAGUUACCCUAGGGAUAACAGCGCAAUCCUCUCCCAGAGUCCAUAUCGACGAGGGGGUUUACGACCUCGAUGUUGGAUCAGGACACCCUAAUGGUGCAGCCGCUAUUAAGGGUUCGUUUGUUCAACGAUUAAAGUCCU